This 339-nucleotide ribosomal RNA is filed under the name uncultured bacterium. RNAcentral's name for it is "bacterial SSU rRNA". It matches the Rfam family "Bacterial small subunit ribosomal RNA", at positions 28 to 376 of the family's 1533-position model. The record is from RNAcentral.
GAUGAACGCUGGCGGCGUGCCUAACACAUGCAAGUCGAGCGAUCUUCUUCGGAAGAGAGCGGCGGACGGGUGAGUAACGCGUGGGUAACCUGCCCUGUACACACGGAUAACAUACCGAAAGGUAUGCUAAUACGAGAUAAUAUACUUUUAUCGCAUGGUAGAAGUAUCAAAGCUUUUGCGGUACAGGAUGGACCCGCGUCUGAUUAGCUAGUUGGUAAGGUAACGGCUUACCAAGGCGACGAUCAGUAGCCGACCUGAGAGGGUGAUCGGCCACAUUGGAACUGAGACACGGUCCAAACUCCUACGGGAGGCAGCAGUGGGGAAUAUUGCACAAUGGGC